RNAcentral lists this ribosomal RNA (429 nucleotides) under Chloroflexota bacterium. Its description in RNAcentral is "Chloroflexi bacterium partial 16S ribosomal RNA". It matches the Rfam family "Bacterial small subunit ribosomal RNA", at positions 355 to 776 of the family's 1533-position model. The record is from RNAcentral. Lineage: Bacteria; Bacillati; Chloroflexota.
UGGGGAAUAUUGCACAAUGGGCGCAAGCCUGAUGCAGCCAUGCCGCGUGUGUGAAGAAGGCCUUCGGGUUGUAAAGCACUUUCAGCGGGGAGGAAGGCGUUAAGGUUAAUAACCUUGGCGAUUGACGUUACCCGCAGAAGAAGCACCGACUAACUCCGUGCCAGCAGCCGCGGUAAUACGGAGGGUGCAAGCGUUAAUCGGAAUUACUGGGCGUAAAGCGCACGCAGGCGGUUUGUUAAGUCAGAUGUGAAAUCCCCGGGCUCAACCUGGGAACUGCAUCUGAUACUGGCAAGCUUGAGUCUCGUAGAGGGGGGUAGAAUUCCAGGUGUAGCGGUGAAAUGCGUAGAGAUCUGGAGGAAUACCGGUGGCGAAGGCGGCCCCCUGGACGAAGACUGACGCUCAGGUGCGAAAGCGUGGGGAGCAAACAGG